GUAUUUUCCAUGUUGGUAUAAAUCAAAUAUAGAGUAUUUUAACAAAGACACACCUAAACAAAUUUCGUUCCGCGCUUGUUAUUAAAACUUUAAACAUUUUGCAACUCUCUGGAGGGAGAUCGAAAAAAUCUGUUCUCCGGGUACUGUUAAAAAAUUCUGAACUUUUGGGCUGGGUGAUGUGGCACACCUACACACCAGCAUAUACACGUACACCGAGGGGCACAACAAUAAGCCAGGAAUGCAGCAUGACGAUGAGCAAUUUACCAAAGCCAAAUACUCAGAGACGAAACAAACACGGGAUGAAAAAAAAAAAAAUGGGACGGCGUAUGGAGGAAAAGAUUCAAAUCGAGAACGUGCCCCAAACGAAGAAGAAGUGCCCCAGUCAAGACGAUUAUGUACGUAUAAAUAGGUAUACUUUCGGUUGCGCUGUAAGAACAACAAA
Long non-coding RNA from Drosophila simulans, 442 nucleotides. RefSeq lists it as uncharacterized. The record is from RefSeq and is a predicted model, not a curated record. The transcript is spliced from 2 exons. NCBI's taxonomy places the organism in Eukaryota, Metazoa, Arthropoda, Insecta, Diptera, Drosophilidae.